UUUUUGGCGCGAGUUGCUAGCCUAGCGCCCUCUUGCUACUUUUUUCCGAGCAGAGGGUUGACUUGUACCUGGACGUUCGCUUUACUGACGUUCACGUUCACUAAGCGCAUGCGUACUAAAUUUUAAAAAAGCCAGACCACACGAGGAGCUUUCUCAGGCGGAAGGUACCACCACAGGAUGCAACACCUUUGCGCAGCAAGCUAUAUACAACCCUCGAAUCCCGUUCUAUGCACCACAUGGAUUAUUCUCAUGAGGACAACCAGAUCAUCCUGGCCGAAACGUUGAGUUGACACCAGUGUCAUAGGUCUCGAGACCGGGUCUCGUUAUCGAGACCAUCUCAAGACCUUUUUUUGUGGAUGUGGUCUUGGUCGCGUCCUAUCCAAGUUGCGGUCUCGCAAGGGUUGGUCUCGGUGUCAAGUGUUGGUUUUGGUCUCGUAUUUCAAAAUCUCGGGUUUCCCCCCUCGAGACUACAGCAAAAUGUGCAUCUGUAGCUACCACUCAUGAAUGCACUUUCCAGCUGCUAUAUAUUUCAGUUGAAACUAAGUGAAAAUAGGCUUGGGAGUUCAUGGUUGUAGGCCGAUGUGUAAUUCAACCAUACACCUGCUUAAUGGUAUUGAAAUAACAGAAGUCUGCCGCUCAUUACAACUACAUUGUAUUUCCCAGAGGUAGUACAUGUAUAUAAUUUUGAAGUUUGGUCUCAGUUUGGAAGUCCAGGUCUCAGUCUCGAUCUUCAGUAGUCUUGGUCUGGGUCUUGAAGGAGUGUGUCUCGGUCUUGCUCUUGGUCUUGAAUGCCUUGGUCUUGGACAUUAAGGUCUCGGCUACAACACUGGUUAACACUCACCAGUUCUCCAAAGAACCACACCUCUUCCAAAAGAGAUUGAUUCCAUUGUGUACCACAAGCCAGCAUCUCAAGAAGUCCUGGGAGAGUUCUCUGGAUUUUGAAACAUCGAAGACAUUUUACUGGCAACGUUACACUCCUCAAUUGCACUAUGGAUGAGCCCCCUGAACUUUUGAGAACUGAAGUGGUUGAAAUGACCCUUCAACACUGGACCAAUGUCACCCACUUGAAAUUUGAAAGUAUGAAGUUUGAAUUUGAAGUCGAGUGGGACUGGCAAGUUAUGGGGGGAGACUUAUGUUGUUUGGUGUAGGGGAGCAAAGAAUGCAGGGAUUUUGAUACCUGAGAUUUGCCAUGUGAGCAGGAUGUUUUCUUUUUGUUGGUUUUCAACUGUAUUUUAUGAUGUUUUUCUUUUUUCAUGUUUUUACACAAUACAUUCCAUUUGAUGUUUAGGGGUUAAAUGUCAUUUGCU
RNAcentral lists this long non-coding RNA (1307 nucleotides) under Acanthaster planci (crown-of-thorns starfish). Its description in RNAcentral is "uncharacterized LOC110985198, transcript variant X2". Lineage: Eukaryota; Metazoa; Echinodermata; Asteroidea; Valvatida; Acanthasteridae. The record is from RNAcentral.